RNAcentral lists this ribosomal RNA (597 nucleotides) under bacterium fme09x41p154. Its description in RNAcentral is "bacterial SSU rRNA". It matches the Rfam family "Bacterial small subunit ribosomal RNA", at positions 48 to 695 of the family's 1533-position model. The record is from RNAcentral.
GCUACACAUGCAGUCGAGCGAGAUCUUCGGAUCUAGCGGCGGACGGGUUAGUAACGCGUGGGAAUAUACCCUUUGGUACGGAAUAGCCUCGGGAAACUGGGAGUAAUACCGUAUGAGCCCUUCGGGGGAAAGAUUUAUCGCCAAAGGAUUAGCCCGCGUUGGAUUAGAUAGUUGGUGGGGUAAUGGCCUACCANGUCGACGAUCCAUAGCUGGUUUGAGAGGAUGAUCAGCAACACUGGGACUGAGACACGGCCCAGACUCCUACGGGAGGCAGCAGUGGGGAAUCUUAGACAAUGGGCGCAAGCCUGAUCUAGCCAUGCCGCGUGGACGAUGAAGGCCUUAGGGUUGUAAAGUCCUUUCAGCUGGGAAGAUAAUGACGGUACCAGCAGAAGAAGCCCCGGCUAACUCCGUGCCAGCAGCCGCGGUAAUACGGAGGGGGCUAGCGUUGUUCGGAAUUACUGGGCGUAAAGCGCACGUAGGCGGAUUAUUAAGUGAGGGGUGAAAUCCCAGGGCUCAACCCUGGAACUGCCUCUCAUACUGUAGUCUUGAGUUCGAGAGAGGUGAGUGAAUCCGAGUGUAGAGGUGAAAUUCGUAGAU